This 20-nucleotide microRNA is filed under the name Anolis carolinensis (green anole). RNAcentral's name for it is "aca-miR-5415". Lineage: Eukaryota; Metazoa; Chordata; Lepidosauria; Squamata; Anolidae. The record is from miRBase by way of RNAcentral.
CCCCUCAGUCUUGAUAUUGA